CCAGACUCCUACGGGAGGCAGCAGUGAGGAAUAUUGGUCAAUGGGCGGGAGCCUGAACCAGCCAAGUCGCGUGAGGGACGACGGUCCUAUGGAUUGUAAACCUCUUUUGUCGGGGAACAAAGGCGCCCACGGGUGGGCGGAUGAGUGUACCCGAAGAAAAAGCAUCGGCUAACUCCGUGCCAGCAGCCGCGGUAAUACGGAGGAUGCGAGCGUUAUCCGGAUUUAUUGGGUUUAAAGGGUGCGUAGGCGGACAGUCAAGUCAGCGGUAAAAAUGCGGUGCUCAACGCCGUACAGCCGUUGAAACUGGCAGUCUUGAGUGGGCGAGAAGUAUGCGGAAUGCGUGGUGUAGCGGUGAAAUGCAUAGAUAUCACGCAGAACUCCGAUUGCGAAGGCAGCUUACUAAACUAUAACUGACACUGAAGCACGAAAGCGUGGGGAUCAAACAGGAUUAGAUACCCCAGUAAG
RNAcentral lists this ribosomal RNA (465 nucleotides) under uncultured bacterium. Its description in RNAcentral is "bacterial SSU rRNA". It matches the Rfam family "Bacterial small subunit ribosomal RNA", at positions 331 to 793 of the family's 1533-position model. The record is from RNAcentral.